UGGGGAAUAUUGCACAAUGGGGGAAACCCUGAUGCAGCAACGCCGCGUGAGUGAAGAAGUAUUUCGGUAUGUAAAGCUCUAUCAGCAGGGAAGAUAAUGACGGUACCUGACUAAGAAGCUCCGGCUAAAUACGUGCCAGCAGCCGCGGUAAUACGUAUGGAGCAAGCGUUAUCCGGAUUUACUGGGUGUAAAGGGUGCGUAGGUGGCAGUGCAAGUCAGAUGUGAAAGGCCGGGGCUCAACCCCGGAGCUGCAUUUGAAACUGCUCGGCUAGAGUACAGGAGAGGCAGGCGGAAUUCCUAGUGUAGCGGUGAAAUGCGUAGAUAUUAGGAGGAACACCAGUGGCGAAGGCGGCCUGCUGGACUGUUACUGACACUGAGGCACGAAAGCGUGGGGAGCAAACAGG
RNAcentral lists this ribosomal RNA (404 nucleotides) under uncultured bacterium. Its description in RNAcentral is "bacterial SSU rRNA". It matches the Rfam family "Bacterial small subunit ribosomal RNA", at positions 355 to 776 of the family's 1533-position model. The record is from RNAcentral. RNAcentral also lists the same sequence under 2 other names.